GCCUAACACAUGCAAGUCGAACGGCAGCACGGGAGCUUGCUCCUGGUGGCGAGUGGCGAACGGGUGAGUAAUGUAUCGGAACGUACCCCGUCGUGGGGGAUAACUCUCCGAAAGGAGAGCUAAUACCGCAUACGACCCGAGGGUGAAAGCGGGGGACCCGGGGUAACCUGGGCCUCGCGCGAUGGGAGCGGCCGAUAUCGGAUUAGCUAGUUGGUGGGGUAAGGGCCUACCAAGGCGACGAUCCGUAGCGGGUCUGAGAGGACGACCCGCCACACUGGAACUGAGACACGGUCCAGACUCCUACGGGAGGCAGCAGUGGGGAAUUUUGGACAAUGGGCGCAAGCCUGAUCCAGCCAUUCCGCGUGAGUGAAGAAGGCCUUCGGGUUGUAAAGCUCUUUCAGCGGGAACGAAACGGUGGGUCUUAAUACGGCCUGCUAAUGACGGUACCUGCAGAAGAAGCACCGGCUAACUACGUGCCAGCAGCCGCGGUAAUACGUAGGGUGCGAGCGUUAAUCGGAAUUACUGGGCGUAAAGCGUGCGCAGGCGGCGACAUAAGACAGAUGUGAAAUCCCCGGGCUCAACCUGGGAACGGCGUUUGUGACUGUGUGGCUAGAGUGUAGCAGAGGGGGGUGGAAUUCCACGUGUAGCAGUGAAAUGCGUAGAGAUGUGGAGGAACACCGAUGGCGAAGGCAGCCCCCUGGGUUAACACUGACGCUCAUGCACGAAAGCGUGGGGAGCAAACAGGAUUAGAUACCCUGGUAGUCCACGCCCUAAACGAUGCCAACUAGGUGUUGGGGGGAGGAGACUUCCUUAGUACCGUAGCUAACGCGUGAAGUUGGCCGCCUGGGGAGUACGGUCGCAAGAUUAAAACUCAAAGGAAUUGACGGGGACCCGCACAAGCGGUGGAUGAUGUGGAUUAAUUCGAUGCAACGCGAAAAACCUUACCUACCCUUGACAUGUCCGGAAUCCCGAAGAGACUUGGGAGUGCUCGAAAGAGAGCCGGAACACAGGUGCUGCAUGGCUGUCGUCAGCUCGUGUCGUGAGAUGUUGGGUUAAGUCCCGCAACGAGCGCAACCCUUAUCAUUAGUUGCCAUCAUUGAGUUGGGCACACUAAUGAGACUGCCGGUGACAAACCGGAGGAAGGUGGGGAUGACGUCAAGUCCUCAUGGCCCUUAUGGGUAGGGCUUCACACGUCAUACAAUGGUCGGUACAGAGGGUUGCCAACCCGCGAGGGGGAGCUAAUCUCACAAAGCCGAUCGUAGUCCGGAUCGCAGUCUGCAACUCGACUGCGUGAAGUCGGAAUCGCUAGUAAUCGUGGAUCAGCAUGUCACGGUGAAUACGUUCCCGGGCCUUGUACACACCGCCC
RNAcentral lists this ribosomal RNA (1366 nucleotides) under uncultured bacterium. RNAcentral's name for it is "16S ribosomal RNA". It matches the Rfam family "Bacterial small subunit ribosomal RNA", at positions 46 to 1395 of the family's 1533-position model. The record is from RNAcentral.